RNAcentral lists this non-coding RNA (28 nucleotides) under Rattus norvegicus (Norway rat). The record is from RNAcentral. Lineage: Eukaryota; Metazoa; Chordata; Mammalia; Rodentia; Muridae.
UGCUUUGGUCGGGCUUCUCUUUGUGAGG